This 416-nucleotide long non-coding RNA is filed under the name Populus tremula. Its description in RNAcentral is "long non-coding RNA (PTRE_LNC001221)". The record is from RNAcentral. Lineage: Eukaryota; Viridiplantae; Streptophyta; Magnoliopsida; Malpighiales; Salicaceae.
UUAAAACAUCAAAACAAUCAGAUUUAUAUGCGGCAAGGGGGGAGAAAGUUGAGAUUUAUACUUGCAAGUCUCACUAUUUUUGGUUGUAGAGGAUGAAAUACAAACCCAAACGAUCAUUUCUGUCAAGGUUUAGCAGCAAAGCUCCUUCUCUAUAUGCUACAGAUCUCCCUCGUUUUUGCAAGUCUCACCAGUUUUGACAGACGAAAAUUUUUGUCCAUGUUUAGCAGGAGAGCUUCCUCUCUAUGUGCUGCAGAUCUCAAACGUUUCUUUUCUUCCUCUCCUCCUUCUUCCUCUGUCUCUUUCCUCUUUUUUCCCUUCGCCUUGUUUCUUCUUCUCUGCUUUGUAUCCUUUUUUCUUUCUUUCACGUUCCAGUGAAGGUUUUUUUUUUUUACUGUCUCCUGGUAUCAAAGAAAAGC